GCGAGCGUAGUCUAGCUGGUUAGGACGGAAGCUUCCCAAGCUUUUGACCCGGGACGAUUUUGUAAUCCACAAAUCGCGGGAAUUCGAAUCCCGGCGCUCGCACCU
Molecule: transfer RNA, 105 nt
Filed under: Candidatus Thorarchaeota archaeon
Lineage: Archaea; Promethearchaeati; Candidatus Thorarchaeota
Description: tRNA-Gly
Rfam family: tRNA
About the family: Transfer RNA (tRNA) molecules are approximately 80 nucleotides in length. Their secondary structure includes four short double-helical elements and three loops (D, anti-codon, and T loops).
Source: RNAcentral